RNAcentral lists this ribosomal RNA (252 nucleotides) under uncultured bacterium. Its description in RNAcentral is "partial 16S ribosomal RNA". It matches the Rfam family "Bacterial small subunit ribosomal RNA", at positions 524 to 776 of the family's 1533-position model. The record is from RNAcentral.
UACGGAGGAUGCGAGCGUUAUCCGGAUUUAUUGGGUUUAAAGGGUGCGUAGGCGGGGAUUUAAGUCAGCGGUAAAAUGUCGGUGCCCAACGCCGGCCGGCCGUUGAAACUGAGUUCCUUGAGUGGGCGAGAAGUAUGCGGAAUGCGUGGUGUAGCGGUGAAAUGCAUAGAGAUCACGCAGAACUCCGAUUGCGAAGGCAGCAUACCGGCGCUCAACUGACGCUGAGGCACGAAAGUGCGGGGAUCAAACAGG